GGGGAGGUAUCCUAACCUGGUAGGGAGCUAGCCUCGAAAGCUAGUGGCUAUUGCCUUGGGAAUUCAAAUCUCCCUCCUCCUCGCCA
This 86-nucleotide transfer RNA is filed under the name Promethearchaeota archaeon. Its description in RNAcentral is "Candidatus Lokiarchaeota archaeon (anaerobic digester metagenome) tRNA-Ser". It matches the Rfam family "tRNA". From Rfam's summary of the family: Transfer RNA (tRNA) molecules are approximately 80 nucleotides in length. Their secondary structure includes four short double-helical elements and three loops (D, anti-codon, and T loops). The record is from RNAcentral. Lineage: Archaea; Promethearchaeati; Promethearchaeota.